Molecule: ribosomal RNA, 511 nt
Filed under: Salmonella enterica
Lineage: Bacteria; Pseudomonadati; Pseudomonadota; Gammaproteobacteria; Enterobacterales; Enterobacteriaceae
Also listed under: 1 other name
Description: partial 23S ribosomal RNA
Rfam family: Bacterial large subunit ribosomal RNA
Source: RNAcentral
CCGAACCGACUAAUGUUGAAAAAUUAGCGGAUGACCUGUGGCUGGGGGUGAAAGGCCAAUCAAACCGGGAGAUAGCUGGUUCUCCCCGAAAGCUAUUUAGGUAGCGCCUCGUGAAUUCAUCUCCGGGGGUAGAGCACUGUUUCGGCUAGGGGGCCAUCCCGGCUUACCAACCCGAUGCAAACUGCGAAUACCGGAGAAUGUUAUCACGGGAGACACACGGCGGGUGCUAACGUCCGUCGUGAAGAGGGAAACAACCCAGACCGCCAGCUAAGGUCCCAAAGUCAUGGUUAAGUGGGAAACGAUGUGGGAAGGCCCAGACAGCCAGGAUGUUGGCUUAGAAGCAGCCAUCAUUUAAAGAAAGCGUAAUAGCUCACUGGUCGAGUCGGCCUGCGCGGAAGAUGUAACGGGGCUAAACCAUGCACCGAAGCUGCGGCAGCGACACUGUGUGUUGUUGGGUAGGGGAGCGUUCUGUAAGCCUGUGAAGGUGUGUCGUGAGGCAUGCUGGAGGUAU